Molecule: ribosomal RNA, 498 nt
Filed under: uncultured bacterium
Lineage: Bacteria
Description: bacterial SSU rRNA
Rfam family: Bacterial small subunit ribosomal RNA
Source: RNAcentral
AUUGAACGCUGGCGGCAGGCCUAACACAUGCAAGUCGAGCGCGAAAGUCUUCGGAUGAGUAAAGCGGCGAACGGGUGAGUAAUGCAUGGGAAUCUGCCUGGUAGUGGGGGACAACGUCUCGAAAGGGACGCUAAUACCGCAUACGCCCUACGGGGGAAAGGGGGGGAGUCUUCGGACCUCUCGCUAUCAGAUGAGCCCAUGUCAGAUUAGCUAGUUGGUGAGGUAAAGGCUCACCAAGGCGACGAUCUGUAACUGGUCUGAGAGGAUGAUCAGUCACACUGGAACUGAGACACGGUCCAGACUCCUACGGGAGGCAGCAGUGGGGAAUAUUGGACAAUGGGGGCAACCCUGAUCCAGCCAUGCCGCGUGUGUGAAGAAGGCCCUAGGGUUGUAAAGCACUUUCAGUGGGGAGAAAGGUUAUUCACCUAAUACGUGAGUAGAUUGAUGUUACCCACAGAAGAAGCACCGGCUAACUCCGUGCCAGCAGCCGCGGUAAUC